RNAcentral lists this ribosomal RNA (911 nucleotides) under Penion fairfieldae. RNAcentral describes it as "partial 16S ribosomal RNA". It matches the Rfam family "Bacterial large subunit ribosomal RNA", at positions 1492 to 2653 of the family's 2925-position model. Lineage: Eukaryota; Metazoa; Mollusca; Gastropoda; Neogastropoda; Buccinidae. The record is from RNAcentral.
UGAUAAUAAAAUAAAACAAAUUUUAAUUUAGUUAAAUUUUUGAGGAUAAGCUCGAAAAUUGUAUAUCAUGUUUGCAUAUUAUUUUAAUUAAAAUUUAAGCCUGAAAAUAGCUNNNNNNNNNNNNNNNNNNNNAUUUCAUUAAGUAUAUUGAAAAAGAAUUGAUUUGCUUAAUAAUAAACGAAGAAAACUUUAGAACUAAAAUAAGUUGAACCUAUGUUAAAAUGAGUAUUAAUUAAUGUAUAAACCUUUAAUAUUGUAUAGUUUAAAGCCAAUAUUUUUAUAUUAAAUUUUAAAUCAUAAAAAGGAACUCGGCAAAUACAUAUUCUGCCUGUUUAGCAAAAACAUGGCUCCCUGUCAAAAGUAAAUAGGGAGUCGGACCUGCCCGGUGAAUUUUUUUAACGGCCGCGGUACUCUGACCGUGCAAAGGUAGCAUAAUCAUUUGCCUUAUAAUUGAAGGCUAGUAUGAAUGGUUUGACAAGAAUAUAGCUGUCUCUUUAUGAUUUAGUAGAAUUUUAUUUUCAGGUGAAGAAGCCUGUAUUGAAUUAAAAGACAAGAAGACCCUAUCGAGCUUAAAAAAAAUCAGCGGACUAAUAAGCUGAUAUAACUAAAAAACCAACCAUUGAAAAUUUUAGUUGGGGCGACUGAGGAACAAGAAAAGCUUCCUUUAUACACUAAAGACAUACGAGUCUUGAUCCAAAACAUUUUGAUUAAAGAAAUUAGUUACCGUAGGGAUAACAGCAUUAUCUUUUUUAAGAGUUCUUAUCGAAAAAAAGGUUUGUGACCUCGAUGUUGGACCAGAAUAUCCUAAAGAUGCAGCAGUCUUUAAGGGUUGGUCUGUUCGACCAUUAAAAUUCUACGUGAUCUGAGUUCAGACCGGCGUGAGCCAGGUCAGUUUCUAUCUUUAAUUUUUA